RNAcentral lists this ribosomal RNA (404 nucleotides) under uncultured bacterium. Its description in RNAcentral is "bacterial SSU rRNA". It matches the Rfam family "Bacterial small subunit ribosomal RNA", at positions 355 to 776 of the family's 1533-position model. The record is from RNAcentral.
UAGGGAAUCUUGCGCAAUGGGCGAAAGCCUGACGCAGCCACGCCGCGUGAGUGAUGAAGGCCUUCGGGUCGUAAAGCUCUUUCAGCAGGGACGAAAAUGACGGUACCUGCAGAAGAAGCCCCGGCUAACUCCGUGCCAGCAGCCGCGGUAAUACGGAGGGGGCUAGCGUUGUUCGGAAUUACUGGGCGUAAAGCGCACGUAGGCUGUCGGCAGAGUUAGGCGUGAAAGGCCUGGGCUCAACCCAGGAACUGCGUUUAAUACUUGCCGGCUAGAGUCCGGAAGAGGGUAGUGGAAUUCCCAGUGUAGAGGUGAAAUUCGUAGAUAUUGGGAAGAACACCAGUGGCGAAGGCGACUGCCUGGUACGGUACUGACGCUGAGGUGCGAAAGCGUGGGGAGCGAACAGG